GAUUCAAAUUCAACUUAUAAAACAACUAAAUUGUAUUAUUUGAUUAUUUUACUAACUCCAGUCAGUUAAAAUCAAUUGUAUCUCUGAAUUUUCCAAUCUGGCGUUCUGGAGGUCCACUUGAUUGACUCAUUGCAGCUUGGGAAGUCGCUCCUCGAAUAAAUUCUGCCAUAAAACUGGCAAUGAAACUUAUGUAUAAGAAGUUAUGCUCUCGGUCGAUUCGAUAAGCUUCAAAAAUGUAAUCUGAUUUUUAUUGUACUGAAUGCAACAAUGAGCGAGAGCGAAAGAAAUAUUUCAGAAGGAUUUGAUUUAAAAUGCAUGGGAAAAUAACUUCAAUCUGUUCAGGAAAUUGUUUAGGGUGAUUGAACGUAAGCCGUUUCAGCUAAUCCGAAAAAAAUACAUUUACAAAUGUCCUUCGUGAUGCUCAACGCUCUGCACAUUUAACAAACAAUUUUCGGUCAAUUGUGUCGAAACAUUCCCUAUUUCGAUUCAAUACCUACUGUAGUUCAGAGUUCCACUUGGUUCUGCUGGGCUCCGCUUAUCCUGGUCCUCAAGCUCAUCCUCCUGCAUCUUGUUCUUGUUGUGGUUUAAUGGAUUUGCAGUUUGCAGUUCCUUAACAAUUCCAUGUUAUUUUCGCUUUUUUGCGUUUCCUUUCUCGCGCUUGCCCUUUUCGUGUUGGAGUUGAAUUUUCGCAAUCGCCCCCUUUUAUUUUUUGUGUUUGGUUCGGAUUUUUCUGCUCUCAUUUUGUAGUUUUUUUUUUUUUUGUAUUUUGGUAAUUGCUUGCCAUUGUUGGUAGUGCUGCAACGAUUGCAGGGCGAACUUUCCCCAAUGGAGUUCGCAAUUGUUGAGCAUUGUGCGACUAAAGUAAACUCUUUAAAUAUCCCCCGGUUGAUAUCCCUUUCCUCAUGUCCACGCCCCUCAGUUAUCAAUCGAAGAGAAAUCAAGGAAAAGUUUUUUUGUUCUGGGAUGAGGGCAAAUCUGUGCCUUCAAAUUAACUCGUACCCAACACGUAUCUAAUUUCAUUUUCACUACAUGUGUGGCACAUAAAAAACUAAUUCAAAGCGCUCAAUAUAAUUUAUAUCCUAUCUGGACAACAAACAAAAAAAAGGACACCAGGAGCACAAGCAGGAAAGGACGAAACGAAACUCCAGGGAACCUGGGACCUGAGACCAGAACCAACGAUGCUCAAUCGCACACAGCAAUCAGCCCAAAAAGGCGAGCGAAUUUUUUUUGUAAUUUUUAUGACCCCAAAAGACGCAUCAAUUCCGAAGGGCAGAUCUCCGAACAAAGGACCCCAAUACACACCCAAUAAGAGAGGGCGGACAAAGCAAACUUAUUUAAAGAUAGCUCACCCAUGCGUCCAAGCGUCCUCGACAUUUGUGUAGCCUCCAGAGCGAGGGAAAGUGGGUCUUCGUCUCCGACUAUAAACUGUUCCAAGUUAUCUAAAGUGUUAAAUCACCUGAUGCCGUCAGCAUGAAAUUUACGCACAUAAAUCUUUCGGGACCAACCCAAGUCUGAAACUGAGAAUGGGCCGCAAAAAAAACAUAAACCAAACAUAAGCAGGCCCCUUUAACCAACGAAAAAACACGGCAGGAGCAACAACUCAAAAAGCUAGAAAAGCGAGAGUUGAUCGGUGGGUUGUAAAAACCGGAGAUAUAAUGUUUAAUAAACCUAUGAUUCUCGUC
Molecule: long non-coding RNA, 1682 nt
Organism: Drosophila yakuba
Lineage: Eukaryota; Metazoa; Arthropoda; Insecta; Diptera; Drosophilidae
Exons: 2
Source: RefSeq, a predicted model, not a curated record